UUCUAUCUUCGGGGCAGGGUGAAAUUCCCGACCGACGGUGAAGAGCUUGCUUAUGCUCUAAGUCCGUGACCUGUUCGGCAUACGCCGGAUGGCUGACCUGGUGCAAUUCCAGGACCGACAGUUACAGUCUGGAUGGGAGAAGAUACGG
RNAcentral lists this non-coding RNA (148 nucleotides) under Sediminibacillus halophilus. RNAcentral describes it as "FMN sequence". It matches the Rfam family "FMN riboswitch aptamer (RFN element)". Rfam says of the family: The RFN element is a highly conserved domain that is found frequently in the 5'-untranslated regions of prokaryotic mRNAs that encode for flavin mononucleotide (FMN) biosynthesis and transport proteins. This element is a metabolite-dependent riboswitch that directly binds FMN in the absence of proteins. In Bacillus subtilis, the riboswitch most likely controls gene expression by causing premature transcription termination within the 5' untranslated region of the ribDEAHT operon and precluding access to the ribosome-binding site of ypaA mRNA. The record is from RNAcentral. Lineage: Bacteria; Bacillati; Bacillota; Bacilli; Caryophanales; Bacillaceae.